RNAcentral lists this ribosomal RNA (239 nucleotides) under uncultured bacterium. Its description in RNAcentral is "partial 16S ribosomal RNA". It matches the Rfam family "Bacterial small subunit ribosomal RNA", at positions 29 to 254 of the family's 1533-position model. The record is from RNAcentral.
AACGAACGCUGGCGGCGCGCCUAACACAUGCAAGUCGAACGAGAAGGCGUAGCAAUACGCUUGUACAGUGGCGAACGGGUGAGGAAUACGUGGGUAACCUACCCUCGAGUGGGGAAUAACCAACCGAAAGGCUGGCUAAUGCCGCGUACGCUUCCAUUCGUUUUCGGGGGUGGAAAGGAAAGCCCGUACCGUGGGUACGGCGCUCAAGGAUGGGCUCACGUCCUAUCAGCUUGUUGGUA